Molecule: long non-coding RNA, 2815 nt
Organism: Hylaeus anthracinus
Lineage: Eukaryota; Metazoa; Arthropoda; Insecta; Hymenoptera; Colletidae
Exons: 2
Source: RefSeq, a predicted model, not a curated record
CUGCUCGCACGCAUCAGUAAUCUCGUUCGCCACCUUACGACUUCGGCUAUUAUCGGUGAACUACGAUGUUUAUUCGGCCCAUCGGCUGCUGCUGGUUGGCGGCUGACGACCUGACGACCAGUCAUGCUUCCCACUGAAACGACGGUACACCAGUGGUUCUUAAUCUUUUUUUUUUCAAUUACGCCACGGUUUAGAAUAAGAUUUUUCAUUGUUGAGGGCCACGGCUCAGUUUGAAAAGGAAAACCUUGGCAUAAGUAGUUCGUAAUAACGAAUCAUCUUGUUUCCGCUAUAAUUUCUUUUCUACGACUGUACGCAGUACUAUAUGUAAUCAUGUUGCAGAGGUCUAGUGAGAGUGAAAUACGAAAUGUGAACAUUCCUUCUUGUGAUUGGUUUGUUUUCUCUUACUCUAUUCGCUUGUAAUGGAUACGAUUUCAGUCAUUGGUUAGUGCCACCGGGUAAUGUUUUUCGUUAUUAUUAUUUAAUUUGUGGCUUAUUCUGAUUCACUAACGUUUUUUCUAAUGGAUUACAAUAUUUUUAAUUGUUACAUUAUAGUCAUUAUAGUAUAGAUACAUUUAUAAAAUAUCAUUAUUAAACUUUAGUAUUAUUUUGGUUUAUUUUAGUUUUAUUUGAUUUGAUUUGACAUAUGAACGUAAUGUUAAUGUUUAUAAUAAAAUAGACUUUGUGUUACGAAUAGUGUCAUUUAUUAUUACAAAAUUCUAGACCAUAAAAAAAAAAAAAAAACAAAAAAAGUUUACUUUUUUUCCUUUAACAACAUUAACAUUUUAUGAAAUAAAAACUAACGAGUUGCGCCAUUAUAAUUAUGUAACACAGUCAUAUGGCAAAUAAUAAAUAACUUCUAUUGUUAUAUAAAUAUUUGCAUACCUUUGCUUUACAAACAUGGAAAAUAUGUAUAUCAAACUAAUUGUAAGUAACAAAAAUGUAUCAACAAUUAAUAUCAUCUUUGAUUUUGGUAUAAAUAAAAAUUAAAGUCUUGUAAAGAUCAUUCUCAAUCCUUUAUUUUCUUUUUACUUUUCUGAUCAAAUGUUAUGUAAACACGAUAGCAUUUACAAUUCAAAAUCCACAGAAAAUGUUUGUAUGUAUGUAUAAAUGUUAAACAUAUUUAUACAUACAUCCAUAUUCAAACUAUAUUAUUAAUUUUCAUUAAUUAAAUAUUCAUUAAUGUUAACAAAUUUAAAUAUGGGAAAACAGCAAAAUAAAAAUUUUAUGAUGGAUGAUAUUUAUGUAACGAAUCAAGCUUAGAUAUAAAGAAAUGUUGUGUUAAAUAUAAAAUGCAUUUCAUGUACCACAUUUAUGUAACCCUGUUUCAUACUUAAAUAACAAUUAAUAAGAUGUAAGUUUUAUUCUACAUACUUUAUAAAACAAAUUUCAGUGUAACAUACUUAAAAUGUAUAAUACAUAUACGAUGACUAGUAGAACACAAUUUUAUCAUAUAAACAUUUUGUGUUUAUAUCAGUGUUUGAAAUCUGCCUAUAAAUAACUAUUUCACAUUGUUAUAUAAAGCUUCUUGGUGAAAUAUUUAUAAAGAACCAUUGCACAUAUAAAAUAACUGUUAUAAAGAACUAAAAAAUGAGAACCUAUUGAUUUCUUACAAACUGAAAUAGUUUGUUACACAUAUACAAUAGUAUUAGUGUAAUAUGAUGAAAAAUUUGGCGAGCUCGUAGAUUUGUACGUAUAUUUAUGAAUUUAUGAAAUUGAAAAAUGUAUAUAUCUAGCAAUUUUGAUAAAAAUUUAUAUUACUCACUAAUACCAUAUAGACGUGAUUAAAAGAGUUUCAUUAUCUAAUAAAUUGAUAUCAGAACUAUUAUAGAACAGAUAUGCAAUCGAUACAAAAAUUGAUAUUAGAACACUAAUAUUAGUACACUUUUUUUAGAUUCUCUAUAACAGUUAUACCAAUUAAUCAAUUUUCAUCAUAUAAAUUUCUGGUUUCUAUAAACACUAAGAAAUUUCCUAUAACAAUGAAUUUUGUGUAAAUCCCUAUAACUCGUGAGACUUAUAUCAACAUGUUUCACAUACUUAAAUAUUUAAAUAAAUAUAACUAUUUUUCAUUUUUGCAGAAACUACUAUGUCGUGUUUACAGCUUGUUCUUUAAGUAUCGAUGAAUAAAAAUAAAAUAUCACAAUUACUAAUUUACUUAUGCUUUAAAAUAAAUUAAUGUAUACAAUUGCUACAUAUAACUCCUAAUCGUUUAAAUAUUUCAUAUCAAUAUAUUGUAUAAUAAAUCUUCACUGUGGAAUAAAGUCUACUAGUAGGUAAUGCAUUUUUAUUGCAUUGUAGAAAAUAUCACAUUAAUGACGGUCCAAUUUUCUUAAAUUUAAUAUAUAAAUCUGAGUUGUUAGGAAAAAAAAAAAAAAAAAAUAUAUAUAGAUAAAUAAAAAUUUCAGUAUCUCUCGAGAAAGCAAAAUAAUUUGAAAAUGCAUUUCCUACUUUAAUGAAAUAUAGUAUAUUAUUCAUUGUAUACUAACACAUACUAAUCUAUUAUAUUAUAAAUAGACCUGCAUACUUAUUACAAGUAUAGAAUCUAAGUUUCUAAUAAAUUACAAAUAACAAAUUACAAUCAUUUGUUUUGGAAGUUAUGAAACUGUAAUAGAUUUCUUAAACAUUUUCUUCUAAGAAGAAAUUAUUAUUAUAGUAACAUUUUUGUAAUUUUUGUCUGAUCUGUAUACCACAAUAAGUUCCGGUAUAUUGAAAUUAGUAUUCCAUGUUUUGAAUAACUACGUCACACAGAGAAAUUUUUAUAUUAUAGACUGCACGCUAAUACAUCGAUGUUUUAUAAGUAUAAAACAUUUAAAAGUAU